CUUGCUGUCACGCGGCUGCGCGGCUACACUCAAACCUUUCCCGCCACAGGUGCCGCUUCCACACAAUUAACGGAUCACCUUCGGAAGAGCAGCUGCUAAUUAACGGCGGAGCUAAGUGGAGCAGAAGGUUCCCCGCCCGGAAUGUCAUUUCAACAGUCUGCUUGUCGGGUGGAGCCGCCGUUUUAUAAACGCGAAAACAUCGCCUCAAGGCCAGUAAUUUAAACCGCCUAAUUUCCCUACUGCGAAUCGGCCUCUUCACCUCUGCAGCAUCGCCGCCCUGCUUCCAUGGCACUGAGGGAGGUGUCAGAAGAGGUUGCUAAACUAGCUGUGCUGGAUUCACAUUUCGGACGCCUACAGUGGGGGUAUGAAAGUUAACAGAGCUGCACUUACAGCUUAAUAAUUAUGGGGAAGGGAAGAGAAGAGAAACAGAAGCAGAAGCUGUGAAAGAAAUCCUCCCUUACGCCCAGUCUGAUGACUAAGAGUCGGACACCCAGACCAGUAAACUCUGAACUCAGUCACAGAAAGACACCAGUCGACACUGCAUUCUGAAGACCCGACCACUCGGCCUUGUUCAUGGGGUAGAGGCUCAGGUACAAAUUACCUCCACUGCAGACCUUUACUGUGAUGCUGUCAUGCUGCCUUCUGAACUCGACUCCUGUCUUCAAAUAUCAAAUACCAAAGACCAAAUACCCCCCCCCCCCAAAAGACCACUUACAGUCCUUUUGGAUUUUUCCCCAUUUGCAUAUUCUCAAUGUAGACAAAACGAUUCACUUUGAGAGACUGACAUUUAAAAAGAUAAAGCAUGAGAUUUUGCAUUAGUCAUGUUUUAUCUGGCGAGUUAAAUCUGAACAACCAAAGGCCUGCAUUUAAACCCCCCCAAGCCUCACCCCCGCCCCCUGC
Long non-coding RNA from Anguilla rostrata (American eel), 900 nucleotides. RefSeq lists it as uncharacterized. The record is from RefSeq and is a predicted model, not a curated record. Lineage: Eukaryota; Metazoa; Chordata; Actinopteri; Anguilliformes; Anguillidae. The transcript has 4 exons.